AACGAAAACCCCAGAUCCACAUCCUGUUGAGCAGCGACGUCCUUGCUGUUUACUUCUAUGUGUCGCGCUGCACUGUCUCGCUAUUAGUAAAUAGUAAUAAUAGGUGAUCAUGUCUCUCAGAGACUACACCAAAUGGAAUACCAGAGCAUCGUUGCUGUACGCCUUAGGUGUAUGGACUAUGAUCGGAUCAGUCGGCAUUUAUAAAUACAUGGGUUAUGAUGUGGUGGAAGUUGUCAAACGGGAAGAGGAGCCCGAGAAUCCCAACAGGGUUGUCCACAGCACGCCUCACUCCAAAACGGUCAUCAUCUACAAGGAGAACUUUGUCCCCUACCACACAAGGAUCUACAACUUCUUCAAUGGAUCGGAUGGAAAGUAGCUGUCAAGGAGGAAUAUGGACUCUUAUUUGAAUAUAAUAACUCAUAUUGAGGGGGGUGCAGACGUGUACUGCACGCAGGAUGAACCAGGCGGUCUGUUGGAGAGCUGUCAUCCUGGAAAAAACGAAUUUAGAGUCAAGAAAAUGUGUCAUUUGUAAAUAAACCUUUGAGAAAAGAAAUGA
This is a long non-coding RNA of Gadus morhua (Atlantic cod), 556 nucleotides long. RefSeq lists it as uncharacterized. NCBI's taxonomy places the organism in Eukaryota, Metazoa, Chordata, Actinopteri, Gadiformes, Gadidae. The transcript is spliced from 2 exons. The record is from RefSeq and is a predicted model, not a curated record.